AUUGAAUGCUGGCGGAAUGCUUUACACAUGCAAGUCGAGCGGCAGCACGGGGGCAACCCUGGUGGCGAGCGGCGAACGGGUGAGUAAUACAUCGGAACAUGCCCAGUCGUGGGGGAUAACACUUCGAAAGAAGUGCUAAUACCGCAUACGUCCUGAGGGGGAAAGCGGGGGAUCGCAAGACCUCGCGCGAUUGGAGUGGCCGAUGUCAGAUUAGCUAGUUGGUGGGGUAAAGGCCUACCAAGGCAACGAUCUGUAGCUGGUCUGAGAGGAUGAUCAGCCACACUGGGACUGAGACACGGCCCAGACUCCUACGGGAGGCAGCAGUGGGGAAUUUUGGACAAUGGGGGCAACCCUGAUCCAGCCAUUCCGCGUGAGUGAAGAAGGCCUUCGGGUUGUAAAGCUCUUUCGGCAGGAACGAAACGGUGAGCUCUAACAUAGCUUGCUAAUGACGGUACCUGAAGAAGAAGCACCGGCUAACUACGUG
Molecule: ribosomal RNA, 484 nt
Filed under: uncultured bacterium
Lineage: Bacteria
Description: partial 16S ribosomal RNA
Rfam family: Bacterial small subunit ribosomal RNA
Source: RNAcentral